UCCAGACUCCUACGGGAGGCAGCAGUGGGGAAUAUUGCGCAAUGGGGGAAACCCUGACGCAGCAACGCCGCGUGAGUGAAGAAGUAUCUCGGUAUGUAAAGCUCUAUCAGCGGGGAAGAGGGAAGACGGUACCCGACUAAGAAGCCCCGGCUAACUACGUGCCAGCAGCCGCGGUAAUACGUAGGGGGCGAGCGUUAUCCGGAUUUACUGGGUGUAAAGGGAGAGUAGGUGGCAAGGUAAGCGAUAUGUGGAAGCCUUAAGCUUAACUUAAGGAUUGCAUAACAAACUAUCUAGCUAGAGUACAGGAGAGGAAAGCGGAAUUCCUAGUGUAGCGGUGAAAUGCGUAGAUAUUAGGAAGAACACCAGUGGCGAAGGCGGCUUUCUGGACUGAAACUGACGCUGAGGCUCGAAAGCGUGGGGAGCGAACAGGAUUAGAUACCCGUGUAAC
This 448-nucleotide ribosomal RNA is filed under the name uncultured bacterium. RNAcentral's name for it is "bacterial SSU rRNA". It matches the Rfam family "Bacterial small subunit ribosomal RNA", at positions 330 to 794 of the family's 1533-position model. The record is from RNAcentral.